UAUAUCAAUAGAGCAUUGCGUGCAAAUGGAUAACCUCGUUUUUUGACAGUUCUGAGAGCUUCUUUAUAUGAACUAAGAACAUAGUUUGAAUCGCUAGUAAAUGUCAACACUUUGUAAACAAGCUAGCUGAACUGUUAUUUUGUCCUUCGAUGUCGUUAUCGUGGAAUGUUUCAUUGUGCAGAUCCGGGAAACAGAUAUGCAAAUUAGAGAAAACUAUAUUAUAUUAAUUAAAUUCAUCAAUCUUUGAAGAAAAGUUGUUCUGCUUUUGAAGUGAGAUUAUUUCCUCAAGGUGUAGUUACAACAUAUCUGGACUAAGGCAUCAACUCGAUCCCGUUUCAAUGAUCAUAUAUUUGCUGGUACAGGAUCAGCAAGAAGCAGUACAAUUAUUUAAGUAAAGGGACGUGAUGUGACUUAUUACGGCUAUCAUCGGGUACUUGUGCUUUCGAUGUGCACACUGAAAGACAGUAACAGCCCAUACAAGAAAACCUUUGGAUAGUCGAUUUAAGUUAUAACGUUCAAAGAAAUUCCGGUACAACAUAGAAAAAGUGAAUUAGAUUGCCUGAUUCCAACCAAAGAUUUGGUAUAAAUAGAUGGAUUCGAGAUUUGAACAAGGAGAAUUUUUAGUGUCAGUAGGAUUUCAUCCUUUCCCCUCGAAUUUGUCGUGUACCCUGGAAUCAACUGCGCAGUACACCGAAACUGAACUGAACGUCAAAUGUUGUACAGAAGGAUCAGGCGAGGUAAAUUGAAUUGUCACUUCCGAUUGAUUGGAAGUUUAGGUUGCACAUGGGAUGAAAAUAAAUAAUAUAACAUCUUGUUUGAUUGAUUAUAUCGUAACACGACCAAAGCGGGUUGGAGGACAAACCUAUGCGGGUCUGUUAUUUUGGGAACUGAGAUCGCCGAUGCGUUAACUAUUCCGACUACAAAUCUCUUGAGUUGUGAUAUCAAGGAGAUUCUGCUGUUCAUACAUAUCUCAUGGAAUUGUGGAUUGAAAUAAUCAUCUGUUACCAAGACUGUCUACGGUGUUAUCAAUCGAUUUUUUUCAGUAAACAGUUCUGGAAGAAAGGUGAAAUAUGGAUAAAGGCCGCUAGUACCAAGUACGUAUACUGCCUCUAUACGCAUAACUGUCCCCUGUGCCAUGGGAUUCCCUAUACACAUGGGACAAUUAUGCGUAUAGCGGCAGUAUAGUAACAGCAAAUGAAAAAUAUAUUUGUAUUUGGUUAUAGUGUUAAUGCACCCUCAAAUUUCUUCUGUAAUAAACUACUAUAAACUUG
This is a long non-coding RNA of Topomyia yanbarensis, 1271 nucleotides long. RefSeq lists it as uncharacterized. Lineage: Eukaryota; Metazoa; Arthropoda; Insecta; Diptera; Culicidae. The record is from RefSeq and is a predicted model, not a curated record. The transcript is spliced from 2 exons.